RNAcentral lists this ribosomal RNA (251 nucleotides) under uncultured bacterium. RNAcentral's name for it is "partial 16S ribosomal RNA". It matches the Rfam family "Bacterial small subunit ribosomal RNA", at positions 524 to 776 of the family's 1533-position model. The record is from RNAcentral.
UACGUAGGGGGCAAGCGUUGUCCGGAAUUAUUGGGCGUAAAGAGCGUGUAGGCGGCCUGGAAGGUCAGCUGUGAAAACUCGAGGCUCAACCUCGAGACGUCGGUUGAAACCACCUGGCUAGAGUCCGGAAGAGGAGUGUGGAAUUCCCGGUGUAGCGGUGGAAUGCGCAGAUAUCGGGAGGAACACCCGUGGAAGGCGGCACUCUGGGACGGUACUGACGCUGAGACGCGAAAGCGUGGGGAGCAAACAGG